Molecule: long non-coding RNA, 1414 nt
Organism: Dermochelys coriacea (leatherback sea turtle)
Lineage: Eukaryota; Metazoa; Chordata; Testudines; Dermochelyidae
Exons: 3
Source: RefSeq, a predicted model, not a curated record
CUUUACCUAUGUCUUGUACAAUGUAAACUGCAUUUCUAGUGCUUAAAGUAAUGACUCUUAAAAUAAAAUGUUGACCCAGUAUAUCUAAAGAGCUUCAACCACCAAUUCCUGUAGAUAUUUUUUUUUCCAUGCACACUGGAAGUAAUUGUUGCAAUAACCAAUUUUAUAAACAAAGCAAGUCAUACUUCAUUUUUCCCUCCAAAGAGAAUACCUACAUUAGGAUUAUUAACUACAAAGCUUCAUUUUAAAAAUAUAUAUUUGAAAUAUGGGGGCACACUAAGGCAUCUGAAAUGUAAAUAUCAGUUGGCAAAGAGGGUAUUAAGAGACAUAGUCACAAGCCCUAACUGCAUCAGUGAAAUUGACAAGAAAGCAGGGAACCUACCAGCCUGAUUCACCCUGCUGUCACCCCAGGGCAGGUUGGAGGCUCCUUCUGGGUGCAGAGCUCCCUGUUGGGAAUGGGCAGCCGGGCUCCCGGUGGGGGGCGGAGAGCCUGGGGGGCAGCGGAGAGCCCAGGGGAGGAGGGCAACCAGGCUCGCAGUGGGGAGCUGUGCACGAACCUGAGAGCCUGAGCUCUCAGCCCCCCCACACUGCAUCUCUUAUGUUGGUGGAAGUGCUCCUGGUGAGGACGCACACCACUGACAGAAGAAGGGUAGUUUAGACAUGAACCACUGCAGUAAUUACUGGCUGUAAGUCGACCUAACAUAGGUCGACUUAAGUUUGUAGUGUAGACAGACCUUCAGCUUCCCAAAACUCUUGACACACAACAGUCUUUAACAGUGCAAAACAAGCCUAACCACAGUUAAGGAAAAAAAGGGAAGAAAACCAUUACAGAGGAAAUUUUAGGUAAACAGAUUAGUGGUUUUGGUAUUGAACCAGGGUACUGAGAUUAAACACCCCUAUUUUUACAAAAGUAGUAUCAGUUUUAAAUCUCUCAGUGUUGCCAGUUUUGUCACAAGUCUCAUGAUAAUUGUUCUCCUUAAAGCCCCAGCUCCUGGAGUCAAGUGGAUAUGUAAUUAUUUCAGCCUUCAUUCUUAAAGAAAAAAUGAUCUUUUUUCAUUUAAAGAGGAUGGAGGAAUUAUGAACAAAACCCAUUCACUUAUUUUGAAUUAUUCAAAGAUAUUCACAGAUGAGUCCAACUGACUUCAAUGGGAGUUGUGUGGAAAAAGGUAGGACAAAAUUAGGUCAUAAAGAAUAUGUGGAAUGGGGAUUACCACACAUUUAAUAUAGCAAUGCAAAUGUAUGUGGCAUUUUACAAAAGAAAGUAAGGCAUGUUCCUUGUCUCAAACAGAUUACAGUCUUGUUAUAAAUAUAAAGGGAAGAGUAAACACCUUUAAAAUCCCUCCUGGCCAGAGGAAAAACCCUUUCAUCUGUAAAGGGUUAAGAAACUAGGAUAACCUCGCUGGCACCUGACCAA